RNAcentral lists this long non-coding RNA (939 nucleotides) under Mytilus galloprovincialis (Mediterranean mussel). The record is from RNAcentral. Lineage: Eukaryota; Metazoa; Mollusca; Bivalvia; Mytilida; Mytilidae.
CACAUGGUAGUGUAAACAUCCAGAGUGAUAGUUCUACUUGUGGGAUACACUUCAUGGGAGAACAUUUAGGAAUAGUAUGAAAGUUUGACAGAUUUUGGCACAGUAUAGUAUGUUUGUUUUUUAUAAAAAUUUUCUGUAAUUUAAAUUAUGUAAAUUUAUUAAAUGCAUUGCAGAGUUUCUCUUGUUUAUGUUUUUAAUUGAAAAAAGAGAGGUUUGAGAUAAGCAUCAUUUAGCAAGAAUCAUAUUAUUAAACAAAAAUCAUAUGGUAGAAAAGAGUCAGACAGAAAUGGAAAAAGAAGAAAAAAUGAAUAAAAAUGAGGAAUUUAGAAGGAAAAGACAAUGUAUAUAUAUAUAAAUAAAAUGAAUGGACUUUGAAAAAUAUAUGAAAAAAAAAUGAAUGGACUUUGAAAAAAAUAUGAAUGAAAAAAAAUAAUGAAAAUAAAGCUUGCAAAGAUGAAGAUGGACUGGAAGAAUGGUAACAUUUGCUGAAAGUGGAUGUAAAGAGAAAAAAUAUAUUGUAAGAUUUUCCUCACACUAAGAAAGGAGCAAAUGAUGGAAAAAGUGAAGAAUGAAACAUCCAUAAACAUAUGACAGAAUAAAAAAGGAUGAAAAUGAAAGAAUAGAUGCAUUGAAUAAGAUAUUUCAUAUGUGUUUAAUGCAUGUACAAUGGAAUACAUGAGACAUAAUUAAUACAUGCACAUCUAUCUACAUGGAAUGAAGAAAAUAUAUAUAUGUCAUAAUCCUUACCUAAAAAUGGAAUGAAUGUUAAAAAGAUAGUGCAAAUUCUUACUGUUAUGAACUAAAAAGCAGGACCUACAAACCUAUGUCUUACAGUCUUAUAUUUGCUUGAUGGAAAGAAAAGAAGAAAUAGAAACAACAAUUCUUAUUUAUAAUGGAAUGAAAGAAGAAUUAAUUUAAAAUAUUUCUUAUAUAUAUAUA